This 30-nucleotide non-coding RNA is filed under the name Xenopus tropicalis (tropical clawed frog). RNAcentral also lists the same sequence under 4 other names. Lineage: Eukaryota; Metazoa; Chordata; Amphibia; Anura; Pipidae. The record is from RNAcentral.
UGGAACGAUACAGAGAAGAUUAGCAUGGCC